GCGAUCAUACCAGCACUAAUGCACCGGAUCCCAUCAGAACUCCGAAGUUAAGCGUGCUUGGGCGAGAGCAGUACUAGGAUGGGUGACCCCCUGGGAAGUCCUCUUGUUGCACCU
This 114-nucleotide ribosomal RNA is filed under the name Zingiber officinale. The record is from RNAcentral. Lineage: Eukaryota; Viridiplantae; Streptophyta; Magnoliopsida; Zingiberales; Zingiberaceae.